UGAGGAAUAUUGGUCAAUGGGCGCAAGCCUGAACCAGCCAUCCCGCGUGAAGGAAGAAGGCGCUAUGCGUUGUAAACUUCUUUUCCAGGGGGAGAAUUUUUCCGUCGUGACGGGAAUUGACGGUACUCUGGGAAUAAGCAUCGGCUAACUCCGUGCCAGCAGCCGCGGUAAUACGGAGGAUGCGAGCGUUAUCCGGAUUUAUUGGGUUUAAAGGGUGCGUAGGCGGAUAGAUAAGUCAGUGGUGAAAUUCUGCAGCUUAACUGUAGACUUGCCGUUGAUACUGUCAGUCUUGAGUAUGGUCAAGGCAGGCGGAAUGUGUAAUGUAGCGGUGAAAUGCUUAGAUAUUACACAGAACACCGAUUGCGAAGGCAGCUUGCUGGGCCAUUACUGACGCGGAUGCACGAAAGCGUGGGGAUCGAACA
Molecule: ribosomal RNA, 422 nt
Filed under: uncultured bacterium
Lineage: Bacteria
Description: bacterial SSU rRNA
Rfam family: Bacterial small subunit ribosomal RNA
Source: RNAcentral